This 1052-nucleotide long non-coding RNA is filed under the name Monodelphis domestica (gray short-tailed opossum). RNAcentral describes it as "lncRNA (ENSMODG00000031832.2)". The record is from RNAcentral. Lineage: Eukaryota; Metazoa; Chordata; Mammalia; Didelphimorphia; Didelphidae.
GUCCACCUAAGAUGCUGGAGGGCCUUCCUUGAGUUCUCUAGACAUUAUGUGUGUAUGAAUGAAGCAUGGGACUGUCCCUUGGGCAUCCCCCACUUUGCUAUUCAACUGGCCCAUCUUUUUUAGGGCAACCUGUCUCUGUGGUGAUUUUAUUUUUCUAAAUGUUGUUUCCAACAAGCUCCUUGAAGGAAGGAGUAAGUAACCUAUAUACACUACUGUGCCCUCAUAUCAAUUCUGGGUAUAGAUCUCGCCCUGUGGGCUGGAUGUCAGCUGGGACCCCGGUCUGAUUCUUUUCUCUCCUCUUCUCUCAGUGAGACAUGGAUGAAGAAGCUCUGGAGGGGGCAGAAGGCUCAGUCUAACAGGAUGAUCUGUGUUGCCUCUGGGCUAACUUCAGAAGAGCCAAGUGGCAGCUACUGACUCACCAUUUCCUGUGUCACGUAGGGUGGUGUGGAUGUUUGCACAGACCUCUGCUUGGAUCCAGCUUCCACUCUGCAGAGCCUUCCCUGGGGGACCUUUGGACUCGCCACAGACCUGGGUGGUUUCCUGGCCCAGGAGAGGGUUUUGGACUCCAUCAUUUCCUGAUAUCCCUUCUUUCUGAUUGGACACUCAUCCAAAGAGAGGCACUCAUCUUUCUGCUGAUGUUUCUGGAUGUUUUCCUGGGACUGUUGUCCAGAGAUGGGAUUUAGGAAGAAAAAGGCUUCAAGUAACAAGUUGGUGCUCACACUUAUCAGUACCUUCUGGCCCUCUGGUUAGAGGAUAGAGCCUUUAGCUCUAAAACCUCUAUUAAAGGAGCAGCCCCAGGCCAGCUAUCUCUGUUUCUCACAUGGUUACAUGCCUUUGGACUUCUCCAUCCUGACUUCAUGGGCAAGAACUUUCUCUCCCCAGCCCAAUCUACUUCUGCUUCCUUUGUGUUACCUUCCACCAUUAGAUUGUAAACUCCUUGAGAGCAAGAACUGUGCCCCCUCCACUUUUUUUUUUGGUAUUUGAAUCCCCAACACUCAGCACAGUGACAGAGUAGGUAUUUAAUAAAUAUUUAUUGAUUAAUUUAUUAGGCA